AGGACGAACGCUGGCGGCGUGCUUAACACAUGCAAGUCGAGCGGUAAGGCCCUUCGGGGUACACGAGCGGCGAACGGGUGAGUAACACGUGGGUAACCUGCCCUCAGCUCUGGGAUAAGCCCGGGAAACUGGGUCUAAUACCGGAUAUGACCUCGCAUCGCAUGGUGUGGGGUGGAAAGUGUUUAGCGGCUGAGGAUGGGCCCGCGGCCUAUCAGCUUGUUGGUGGGGUAGUGGCCUACCAAGGCGACGACGGGUA
RNAcentral lists this ribosomal RNA (256 nucleotides) under uncultured soil bacterium. RNAcentral's name for it is "partial 16S ribosomal RNA". It matches the Rfam family "Bacterial small subunit ribosomal RNA", at positions 26 to 285 of the family's 1533-position model. The record is from RNAcentral.